Long non-coding RNA from Etheostoma spectabile (orangethroat darter), 131 nucleotides. RefSeq lists it as uncharacterized. The record is from RefSeq and is a predicted model, not a curated record. Lineage: Eukaryota; Metazoa; Chordata; Actinopteri; Perciformes; Percidae. The transcript has 3 exons.
UUGUACGGCCACUGGUUACCAAGGAGACAAUCUGUCUAGAGUCCACAUAUCUGCCUCCAAACCCAUCUUGGAGGUGGGAUCUUCCAUCCGGAUCAAACUAUCAUUCGGGAAUAAGCCAACAGAGAAACCUG